This 578-nucleotide ribosomal RNA is filed under the name Aspergillus sp. RNAcentral describes it as "eukaryotic LSU rRNA". The stretch from base 204 to 357 matches the Rfam family "5.8S ribosomal RNA". The record is from RNAcentral. Lineage: Eukaryota; Fungi; Ascomycota; Eurotiomycetes; Eurotiales; Aspergillaceae.
CUGCGGAAGGAUCAUUACCGAGUGCGGGUCCUUUGGGCCCAACCUCCCAUCCGUGUCUAUUGUACCCUGUUGCUUCGGCGGGCCCGCCGCUUGUCGGCCGCCGGGGGGGCGCCUCUGCCCCCCGGGCCCGUGCCCGCCGGAGACCCCAACACGAACACUGUCUGAAAGCGUGCAGUCUGAGUUGAUUGAAUGCAAUCAGUUAAAACUUUCAACAAUGGAUCUCUUGGUUCCGGCAUCGAUGAAGAACGCAGCGAAAUGCGAUAACUAAUGUGAAUUGCAGAAUUCAGUGAAUCAUCGAGUCUUUGAACGCACAUUGCGCCCCCUGGUAUUCCGGGGGGCAUGCCUGUCCGAGCGUCAUUGCUGCCCUCAAGCCCGGCUUGUGUGUUGGGUCGCCGUCCCCCUCUCCGGGGGGACGGGCCCGAAAGGCAGCGGCGGCACCGCGUCCGAUCCUCGAGCGUAUGGGGCUUUGUCACAUGCUCUGUAGGAUUGGCCGGCGCCUGCCGACGUUUUCCAACCAUUCUUUCCAGGUUGACCUCGGAUCAGGUAGGGAUACCCGCUGAACUUAAGCAUAUCAAUAA